RNAcentral lists this transfer RNA (71 nucleotides) under Mycoplasmopsis columbina SF7. RNAcentral's name for it is "Mycoplasma columbinum SF7 tRNA". It matches the Rfam family "tRNA". Rfam says of the family: Transfer RNA (tRNA) molecules are approximately 80 nucleotides in length. The record is from Rfam by way of RNAcentral. Lineage: Bacteria; Bacillati; Mycoplasmatota; Mycoplasmoidales; Metamycoplasmataceae.
GGAAAUGUAGUUCAAUGGUAGAACUUCAGCCUUCCAAGCUGACUAUGCGGGUUCGAUUCCCGUCAUUUCCU